UCUUCAUUUAAACAGUGGUAAAUUUCUUGUAGCAAGAGUCACACUUGAGGCAGCAAGAGAGACAACCAUUAGUAGAGGAGCAAGCCCGGGCAUCCGCCCUUACAUCUGUAAAGCAAGAAUUGGAGGAAAAGCUUGCAGCUAUGUCUAGAAAGGCUUCAGGUACCAAAACCAUCCAAAUGUACAUUUCUACACCAUAAAGAAUUUCAGAAAAUCUCCUUUCAGAUGUUCAAGUUAUAAAAUGGAGAGGACUUUAGGCCUUGCUGCCUUUUUCUUUCCCAGCCCGCACAGCCCUUCCCACCACCCAUCAUACUUCCUCCAUGCUCCCCCAAUCCUCCAUAUCCUUUUCUUCCCCAGCCCCCACAACUUCCCAUAUUCACAGAUACACCCACUGCCUCCCAUAUUCACGUCCUCCCACCACACCUGCCACCUCCCAAUUUGGGUGGAUUUGCAUAAGACAAAUUCAGAGGGCAAUUGAGGAACAAAAGUGUGAUUCCUAGAGGACACCAAUUCAAGGAAUUCAAUUACCACAUAUUGCUAAAGAAUCCAACUCCAGGAAAUUCCGGAGUGUGAUUCCGGAAUUCAUCUGGGUCCCACAAGAUUUUUUUGUAUUCCUCUCACAUUAGUAAACACCGAUGUAAAUCAUAAUCGAAAUUCAAUUCUGUUUCUUGACUCACAUUACCCUUACAUAAACGCGCCACUAAUGUGUUACACAAGCGUCUUUUUCUCUCAAUGUCUAUGUGAAUAUGUUUGGGUCCAAAAUAUUAUUUUGGGCCGAGCUUGGGAUUAUUCUCGGUCUAAUGGCAUUUAUCUAUAAUUUUCUUGUGGGCCAUCUAGUUAAGGCCGGCCGAAUCCUGUUGCGAAGGGAAUUGGUUUAGAUAAGAGUGAAGUAGUCAAAACCUAGUGCAACAGGGAGUCAUAAGGCUAAGGAUGUUGAGAAUUAAGGGAUAAUCUGGUUUGUUUAAAAGCUUGAAUUAGAGUCCUAUUAAAGUCAGGAUUGGCCGAGACCUAAUUAGAUUAAGUUGAGGAGUUCUAAUUCGAAUACGAUUCUAGCUCGGCCAUGAGAGGGUUGGCUACUAUAAAUAAAGAAAGGAGUGCAUUAUUCAAGGCCCCCCUUCAAUUCAACACACAAAUUGUCCUGUGCAAAGCUUCUCAACAACCCUUGAGAUUUUAUCCUUCUCCUCUUUCUUCUGCCA
RNAcentral lists this long non-coding RNA (1193 nucleotides) under Malus domestica (apple). RNAcentral describes it as "long non-coding RNA (MDOM_LNC015696)". The record is from RNAcentral. Lineage: Eukaryota; Viridiplantae; Streptophyta; Magnoliopsida; Rosales; Rosaceae.